AUACGAAGGGGGCUAGCGUUGUUCGGAAUCACUGGGCGUAAAGCGCGCGUAGGUGGAUCAAUUAGUUGAGGGUGAAAUCCCGGGGCUCAACCUCGGAACUGCCUUCAAUACUGUUGAACUUGAGACCGAGAGAGGUGAGUGGAAUUCCUAGUGUAGAGGUGAAAUUCGUAGAUAUUAGGAAGAACACCAGUGGCGAAGGCGGCUCACUGGCUCGGUACUGACGCUGAGGUGCGAAAGCGUGGGGAGCAAACAGGAUUAGAAACCCUAGUAGUCC
Molecule: ribosomal RNA, 274 nt
Filed under: uncultured bacterium
Lineage: Bacteria
Description: partial 16S ribosomal RNA
Rfam family: Bacterial small subunit ribosomal RNA
Source: RNAcentral